UAUCCCGUACUUUUGUACAUUUGAUUUAUCGUAAGUUAAUCGACAUAAAUUCAUGGGCAAGAUCAAUUUUUUGUUUUUUUGGAUAUAAGUAUUUAUGCGACGCGUAGCAAGUGAUAACCAAGUGUUGUGGAGAUUAAAGGUUACUCCAAUUGAAGAAAAUAAAUUUCGUCGAGGUUCGACAUUUAUUUGAAUAAAAUACAGUCCAAGCUAUAAUAUCCUGUAUUUUGGACCCGGAAAUUAAACCGUCCAAUAUGAGAAUAUUCAAGCAUGAAAAAUCAAGAAUUCAGUGUAUACAAGGGAUGAAGUCCCGAAAUGAUUAAGAUGGAAAAGUGUGAUGACUGGAAAUAAUACUUUAUGUGUGACAAAUGAGGUUAUGAACUAGUGUUAUAUCACAUGAUCAUGGUAAUGGUUAUACGAAGUAUGUUAAAAAAAUAACUACUAUUUAAGUGAGUUGAGAUCAAGAAAUUAAUUAUGGUAUUAAUUAAGAUGAUAUGGACAAGUGUUAUGUUUUUUUUUCUCUUCACGUGGGAUCUGGUGGAGAAGUCAAUUAGUGACUAACCAUGCAUAUACCAGUGGUGAAAACUUUACAGCUUGCUACCUAAAAUAAUGAAGAGGCACGUGGACCCCAUGGUCCACUAAGUAACUAUAAUAUAUUUGUGACUAUUCCUAAAUAAAUCUUUAGGUGGCACCUUUAGAACUAAUCAAUUAAGUUAAAUAAUGCAAAGGAGGUGGCCCCCACUGUUCACUAAGAGAAAAAAACUGAUAUAUCCUCUAAUAUAUUUUACAAGUUAGCAAAUGGAGUUAUAGAGGAGCACGUGUCCUAGAGUGGGGCAGCAUAUAUAAUCAUAUUUAAUGACUAAUGUUAGUCAUACAUUCAUUUGCAAUCUCAAUUAAAUUGAGAGAGCGAGAGAGCAGCACAUAGCCAUGGCACUCACGGCCAUGGAAGCUCACGGAUGAGCUCAAAAUUUGGAAGAGAAAUUAAAUUCAAGAAGGCGUUCUAUACGUUCAAGGAGGCGGUAACCUUGAGAUUUAAAUUGAGAAAGAAGCAGUGGUGCAAGGAAGUAAGGUGGAAGAAGAUUAUUUCUUGGCAUAUAAGACCCACGAGCUCGAGAAGUAGACGUUGGACAUUAGAUAGAGUUCAAGGUAGACAGGGAGGUGAGCUUAAUCCAGAUUCUUAGUAGUUGUCAGCUGAUGGAGAGCACUCCAUUGUUCGGGGGUGCUUAUGUUUAUUCUUUUGGUUCAUAUAUGUAUUUCGCGCACGACGGAGUUUGGUUCCGUUUAUAUGUAUAAUAUGCAGUAGAGGCUCGUAGACGCGCAGUGUGGGUUAGAUGGUCUCGCAAGAUUACUAUGUUAUAUUUGUAUAUGAUAUUUUGAUAGCCUAAGGGGCACAUGUAUAUAAAAUCAUUGGUGUUUUUUUUUAAAUGUAAAAUGGGUAUGACGAGUGAGGAAACGAGCGGUGCUCGGUGGUUAGCCCCGGGUACCCGUUGCGGCCCUAGUCGGGUC
Molecule: long non-coding RNA, 1503 nt
Organism: Lycium barbarum (goji berry)
Lineage: Eukaryota; Viridiplantae; Streptophyta; Magnoliopsida; Solanales; Solanaceae
Exons: 3
Source: RefSeq, a predicted model, not a curated record